RNAcentral lists this ribosomal RNA (497 nucleotides) under uncultured bacterium. Its description in RNAcentral is "partial 16S ribosomal RNA". It matches the Rfam family "Bacterial small subunit ribosomal RNA", at positions 28 to 507 of the family's 1533-position model. The record is from RNAcentral.
GACGAACGCUGGCGGCGUGCCUAAUACAUGCAAGUUGAGCGAUGAAGAUUGGUGCUUGCACCAAUUUGAAGAGCAGCGAACGGGUGAGUAACGCGUGGGGAAUCUGCCUUUGAGCGGGGGACAACAUUUGGAAACGAAUGCUAAUACCGCAUAACAACUUUAAACAUAAGUUUUAAGUUUGAAAGAUGCAAUUGCAUCACUCAAAGAUGAUCCCGCGUUGUAUUAGCUAGUUGGUGAGGUAAAGGCUCAACAAGGCGAUGAUACAUAGCCGACCUGAGAGGGGGGUCGGCCACAUUGGGACUGGGAAACGGCCCAAACUCCUACGGGAAGCAGCAGUAGGGAAUCUUCGGCAAUGGACGAAAGGCUGACCGAGCAACGCCGCGGGAGUGAAGAAGGGUUUCGGAUCGGAAAACUCUGUUGGUAGGGAAGAACGUUGGUGGGAGUGGAAAGCUCAUCAAGUGACGGUAACUACCCAGAAAGGGACGGCUAACUACGUG